RNAcentral lists this ribosomal RNA (431 nucleotides) under uncultured bacterium. RNAcentral describes it as "bacterial SSU rRNA". It matches the Rfam family "Bacterial small subunit ribosomal RNA", at positions 98 to 525 of the family's 1533-position model. The record is from RNAcentral.
GCGGACGGGUGAGUAAUGCCUAGGAAUCUGCCUGGUAGUGGGGGAUAACGUUUCGAAAGGGACGCUAAUACCGCAUACGUCCUACGGGAGAAAGCAGGGGACCUUCGGGCCUUGCGCUAUCAGAUGAGCCUAGGUCGGAUUAGCUAGUUGGUGAGGUAAUGGCUCACCAAGGCGACGAUCCGUAACUGGUCUGAGAGGAUGAUCAGUCACACUGGAACUGAGACACGGUCCAAACUCCUACGGGAGGCAGCAGUGGGGAAUAUUGGACAAUGGGCGAAAGCCUGAUCCAGCCAUGCCGCGUGUGUGAAGAAGGUCUUCGGAUUGUAAAGCACUUUAAGUUGGGAGGAAGGGCAUUAACCUAAUACGUUAGUGUUUUGACAUUACCGACAGAAUAAGCACCGGCUAACUCUGUGCCAGCAGCGGGGGUAAUA